This 459-nucleotide ribosomal RNA is filed under the name uncultured bacterium. RNAcentral describes it as "partial 16S ribosomal RNA". It matches the Rfam family "Bacterial small subunit ribosomal RNA", at positions 338 to 795 of the family's 1533-position model. The record is from RNAcentral.
CCUACGGGAGGCUGCAGUGAGGAAUAUUGGUCAAUGGGAGGAAUCCUGAACCAGCCAAGCCGCGUGAGGGAAGACGGCCCUAUGGGUUGUAAACCUCUUUUGUCGGAGAACAAAACCCGGGUCGUGUCCCGGACUGCGUGUAUCCGAAGAAAAAGCAUCGGCUAACUCUGUGCCCGCAGCCGCGGUAAUACGGAGGAUGCGAGCGUUAUCCGGAUUUAUUGGGUUUAAAGGGUGCGUAGGCGGUCCGUUAAGUCAGCGGUAAAAUUGCGGGGCUCAACCCCGUCGAGCCGUUGAAACUGGCAGACUGGAGUUGGCUAGAAGUACGCGGAAGGCGCGGUGUAGCGGUGAAAUGCAUAGAUAUCGCGCAGAACGCCGAUUGCGAAGGCAGCGUACCGGCGCCAGACUGACGCUGAGGCACGAAAGCGUGGGGAUCGAACAGGAUGAGAUACCCCAGUAGUC